RNAcentral lists this ribosomal RNA (1500 nucleotides) under metagenome. RNAcentral's name for it is "bacterial SSU rRNA". It matches the Rfam family "Bacterial small subunit ribosomal RNA". The record is from RNAcentral.
AGAGUUUGAUCAUGGCUCAGGAUGAACGCUAGCUACAGGCUUAACACAUGCAAGUCGAGGGGAAACGACAUCGAAAGCUUGCUUUUGAUGGGCGUCGACCGGCGCACGGGUGAGUAACGCGUAUCCAACCUGCCCACCACUUGGGGAUAACCUUGCGAAAGUAAGACUAAUACCCAAUGAUAUCUCUAGAAGACAUCUGAAAGAGAUUAAAGAUUUAUCGGUGAUGGAUGGGGAUGCGUCUGAUUAGCUUGUUGGCGGGGUAACGGCCCACCAAGGCAGCGAUCAGUAGGGGUUCUGAGAGGAAGGUCCCCCACAUUGGAACUGAGACACGGUCCAAACUCCUACGGGAGGCAGCAGUGAGGAAUAUUGGUCAAUGGGCGAGAGCCUGAACCAGCCAAGUAGCGUGCAGGACGACGGCCCUAUGGGUUGUAAACUGCUUUUAUAAGGGAAUAAAGUGAGUCUCGUGAGACUUUUUGCAUGUACCUUAUGAAUAAGGACCGGCUAAUUCCGUGCCAGCAGCCGCGGUAAUACGGAAGGUCCGGACGUUAUCCGGAUUUACUGGGUGUAAAGGGAGCGUAGACGGUUUUGCAAGUCUGAAGUGAAAGCCCGGGGCUUAACCCCGGGACUGCUUUGGAAACUGUAGAACUAGAGUGCAGGAGAGGUAAGUGGAAUUCCUAGUGUAGCGGUGAAAUGCGUAGAUAUUAGGAGGAACACAGUGGCGAAGGCGGCUUACUGGACUGUAACUGACGUUGAGGCUCGAAAGCGUGGGGAGCAAACGGGAUUAGAUACCCUGGUAGUCCACGCCGUAAACGAUGAUUACUAGGUGUUGGUGGGUACGACCCAUCGGUGCCGCAGCAAACGCAAUAAGUAAUCCACCUGGGGAGUACGUUCGCAAGAAUGAAACUCAAAGGAAUUGACGGGGACCCGCACAAGCGGUGGAGCAUGUGGUUUAAUUCGAAGCAACGCAAAGAACCUUACCUGGUCUUGACAUCCCUAUGAAUAACGGGCAAUGCCGUUAGUACUUCGGUACAUAGGAGACAGGUGGUGCAUGGUUGUCGUCAGCUCGUGUCGUGAGAUGUUGGGUUAAGUCCCGCAACGAGCGCAACCCUUAUCUUUAGUAGCCAGCAGUAAGAUGGGCACUCUAGAGAGACUGCCGGGGAUAACCCGGAGGAAGGUGGGGAUGACGUCAAAUCAUCAUGCCCCUUAUGACCAGGGCUACACACGUGCUACAAUGGCGUAAACAAAGAGAAGCGAAGUCGUGAGGCAGAGCGAAUCUCAAAAAUAACGUCUCAGUUCGGAUUGUAGUCUGCAACUCGACUACAUGAAGCUGGAAUCGCUAGUAAUCGCAGAUCAGAAUGCUGCGGUGAAUACGUUCCCGGGUCUUGUACACACCGCCCGUCACACCAUGGGAGUCGGAAAUGCCCGAAGUCGGUGACCUAACCGCAAGGAAGGAGCCGCCGAAGGCAGGUCUGAUAACUGGGGUGAAGUCGUAACAAGGUA